RNAcentral lists this ribosomal RNA (608 nucleotides) under uncultured bacterium. Its description in RNAcentral is "bacterial SSU rRNA". It matches the Rfam family "Bacterial small subunit ribosomal RNA", at positions 338 to 946 of the family's 1533-position model. The record is from RNAcentral.
CCUACGGGAGGCAGCAGUGAGGAAUAUUGGACAAUGGGCGCAAGCCUGAUCCAGCCAUGCCGCGUGCAGGAUGACGGUCCUAUGGAUUGUAAACUGCUUUUAUACAGGAAGAAACCCUGGUUCGUGAACCAGCUUGACGGUACUGUAAGAAUAAGGAUCGGCUAACUCCGUGCCAGCAGCCGCGGUAAUACGGAGGAUCCAAGCGUUAUCCGGAAUCAUUGGGUUUAAAGGGUCCGUAGGCGGUUUAAUAAGUCAGUGGUGAAAGCCCAUCGCUCAACGGUGGAACGGCCAUUGAUACUGUUAAACUUGAAUUAUUAGGAAGUAACUAGAAUAUGUAGUGUAGCGGUGAAAUGCUUAGAGAUUACAUGGAAUACCAAUUGCGAAGGCAGGUUACUACUAAUAUAUUGACGCUGAUGGACGAAAGCGUGGGUAGCGAACAGGAUUAGAUACCCUGGUAGUCCACGCCGUAAACGAUGGAUACUAGCUGUUGGGAGCAAUCUCAGUGGCUAAGCGAAAGUGAUAAGUAUCCACCUGGGGAGUACGUUCGCAAGAAUGAAACUCAAAGAGUAGUGACGNGNGAGAGCGACGACGACGACGAGGAGGAGGAG